RNAcentral lists this ribosomal RNA (216 nucleotides) under Glomeromycotina sp. RNAcentral describes it as "partial small subunit ribosomal RNA". The stretch from base 75 to 216 matches the Rfam family "Eukaryotic small subunit ribosomal RNA", at positions 721 to 864 of the family's 1831-position model. Lineage: Eukaryota; Fungi; Glomeromycota. The record is from RNAcentral.
GGGUCAGUAGGUUGGUCGUGCCACCGGUACGUACUGGUCUCACUGAUCCCUCCUUCCUGAAGAACCGUAAUGCCAUUAAUUUGGUGUUGCGGGGAAACAGGACUGUUACUUUGAAAAAAUUAGAGUGUUUAAAGCAAGCUAACGCUUGAAUACAUUAGCAGGGAAUAAUGAAAUAGGACGAUCGAUCCUAUUUUGUUGGUUUCUAGGAUUGACGUA